This 403-nucleotide ribosomal RNA is filed under the name uncultured bacterium. RNAcentral's name for it is "partial 16S ribosomal RNA". It matches the Rfam family "Bacterial small subunit ribosomal RNA", at positions 29 to 526 of the family's 1533-position model. The record is from RNAcentral.
AUUGAACGCUGGCGGCCGGCCUAACACAUGCAAGUCGAGCGAGCGGCGGACGGGUGAGUAACGCAUGGGGACUGCCCGAUAGAGGGGGAGAACCACCGGAAACGGUAGCUAAUACCGCACACAAUCGGAAAACCCAAAUGGGAGUAGCUAGUAGGUGCGGUAAUGGCUGACCACGGCGACGAUCCCUAGCUGGUCUGAGAGGAUGCUCAGCCACACUGGGAAGGAGACACGGCCCAAAGUCCUACGGAGGCAGCAGUGGGGAAUAUUGCACAAUGGGCGCAAGCCUGAUGCAGCCAUGCCGCGUGUAUGAAGAAGGCCCUAGGGUUGUAAGGUACUUUCGGUCGGGAGGCGUUACCUGAAUAAGAAGCACCGGCUUACUCCGUGCCAGCAGCCGCGGUAAUUC